GACGAACGCUGGCGGCGUGCUUAACACAUGCAAGUCGAGCGGAGAGGAGCUUCGGGGUCCUCGAGCGGCGAACGGGCGAGUAACACGUGAGUAACCAGCCCCAGUCUUUGGGAUAACCGUCGGAAACGGGGGCUAAUAACGGAUAAGACAAAGACUAGCAAGGGGUCUGUGUGGAAAGUUUUAAGGUUUGGGAUGGGCACGCGGACUAGCAGCUUGUUGGUGUGGUGAUGUAGUACAGAGGAGACGACGGCUAGCCGGCCUGAGAGGGCGACCGGCCACACAGGGAUUGAGACACGAGCCAGACGGCAACGUGAGGCAGCGGGGGAGAAUAGAGCGCGAUGGGCCGAAGCCGGAUGCAGCGACGUCGCGUGAGAAAGGACGGCCUUCGGGUUGUAAACCUCUUGCAGCAGGGACGAAGCGUAAGUGACGGUACCUUCAGAAGAAGCGCCGGCCAACUACGUG
Molecule: ribosomal RNA, 462 nt
Filed under: uncultured bacterium
Lineage: Bacteria
Description: partial 16S ribosomal RNA
Rfam family: Bacterial small subunit ribosomal RNA
Source: RNAcentral